Molecule: ribosomal RNA, 465 nt
Filed under: uncultured bacterium
Lineage: Bacteria
Description: partial 16S ribosomal RNA
Rfam family: Bacterial small subunit ribosomal RNA
Source: RNAcentral
CCUACGGGUGGCAGCAGUGGGGAAUAUUGCGCAAUGGGCGAAAGCCUGACGCAGCGACGCCGCGUGAGGGAUGAAGGUCUUCGGAUCGUAAACCUCUGUCAGCAGGGACGAACGGUCACUGUGCUAAUCAGCAGUGAAUUGACGGUACCUGCAAAGGAAGCCCCGGCUAACUCCGUGCCAGCCGCCGCGGUAAUACGGAGGGUGCGAGCGUUAAUCGGAAUUACGGGGCGUAAAGAGCUCGUAGACGGUAUGUCAAGUCAAGGGUGAAAGCCCCGCGCUCAACGUGGGAACUGCCUUUGAAACUGGCGAACUAGAGUGUGGGAGAGGAUAGUGGAAUUCCAGGUGUAGGGGUGAAAUGCGUAGAUAUCAGGAGGAACAUCAGUGGCGAAGGCGACUAACUGGCAUAUAACUGACGCUGAGGAUCGAAAGCGUGGGGAGCAAACAGGAUUAGAUACCCGGGUAGUC